Molecule: ribosomal RNA, 488 nt
Filed under: Scolecobasidium constrictum
Lineage: Eukaryota; Fungi; Ascomycota; Dothideomycetes; Venturiales; Sympoventuriaceae
Description: eukaryotic LSU rRNA
Rfam family: Eukaryotic large subunit ribosomal RNA
Source: RNAcentral
CGGCGAGUGAAGCGGCAACAGCUCAAAUUUGAAAUCUGACGUCUUAGGCGUCCGAGUUGUAAUUUGCAGAGGGAGUCUCGGGUUUAGGACCGGCCCAAGUGCCUUGGAACAGGAUACCAAAGAGGGUGAGAGUCCCGUAUCCGGCCGGUACCAACGCCCGUGUGAGACCCCUUCGACGAGUCGAGUUGUUUGGGAAUGCAGCUCUAAAUGGGUGGUAAAUUCCAUCUAAAGCUAAAUACUGGCCAGAGACCGAUAGCGCACAAGUAGAGUGAUCGAAAGAUGAAAAGCACUUUGAAAAGAGAGUCAAACAGUACGUGAAAUUGUUGAAAGGGAAGCGUAUGUGGGCAGACUUGACCACGGGAUUCAGCUCGUCUUCUGGCGGGUGUACUUUCUCGUGGGCAGGCCAGCAUCGGUUUCGGGGGUAAGACAAAGGCGGCGGGAAUGUGGCACCCUUCGGGGUGUGUUAUAGCCCGUCGUGUAAUGUUGCC